CUGGGAUCACGUCCUGAGCCGAAGGCAGACGCUUAACGACGGCGCUACCCAGGCGCCCCUGAUAAGCUAAUUCUUGUACCCUUUUUUUCUGUUUAUGAAAUUAUAGAUCCAAAUACAAAUAGGUGUUCAGCUGCUUACAUAAAUCUAAUUCCAGUAAUACCAAAAUAACCCUAAAUCUGCAACAGAUGCAAGGAUGCCCCCUGGGGCAAAUGUUAAGUGUGAUGACAGCUGGGCAUCAGUUAAUACACUUGUCACCUGCUCAUGGGAUAGGAUCAUGAGAGGUUUGGCAAAGGGACAAGUAACCUAUUGAACACCCUGCACAAAACUUAGUUGAUAUCAAGUGAAAAUAUUUGUGGAAGAGUUUUUUGUUUUUUUGUUAAAUUAUUAUUUCACUUGACUAUUCUGCCUUAUCUAUCUAGUGGCCUGUUUGGAGUCAUAGCUUCCCCAGGAGUUUGGAGGAAGCUAGUAAAAUGGCAGUCCACUGUCCUCGUUUGUGAAGCUGUCAGUCAAGGUGAGCAAGUAUGGGAAGCAGGAAGACUCAUCUUGGCGGAUGACCAGGUGGACAGGAGAGGAGGUGACGUGUGUCUGAUAUCCUGAGGAGAGCUGCCAUCGUUGCUGUCGCUCUUCCGGGAUUCCGUAUUAUCCUUGCUCAGCUCACCCAGUCCUUGGAUCUGUU
This 676-nucleotide long non-coding RNA is filed under the name Ursus americanus (American black bear). RNAcentral's name for it is "lncRNA (ENSUAMG00000023291.1)". The record is from RNAcentral. Lineage: Eukaryota; Metazoa; Chordata; Mammalia; Carnivora; Ursidae.